UCCACGCUGUAAACGAUGUCGAUUUGGAGGUUGUGCCCUUGGGGCGUGGCUUCCGGAGCUAACGCGUUAAAUCGACCGCCUGGGGAGUACGGCCGCAAGGUUAAAACUCAAAUGAAUUGACGGGGGCCCGCACAAGCGGUGGAGCAUGUGGUUUAAUUCGAUGCAACGCGAAGAACCUUACCUGGCCUUGACAUGUCUGGAACCUUGUAGAGAUACGAGG
Molecule: ribosomal RNA, 220 nt
Filed under: uncultured bacterium
Lineage: Bacteria
Description: partial 16S ribosomal RNA
Rfam family: Bacterial small subunit ribosomal RNA
Source: RNAcentral